This 252-nucleotide ribosomal RNA is filed under the name uncultured bacterium. RNAcentral describes it as "partial 16S ribosomal RNA". It matches the Rfam family "Bacterial small subunit ribosomal RNA", at positions 524 to 776 of the family's 1533-position model. The record is from RNAcentral.
UACGGAGGAUCCAAGCGUUAUCCGGAUUUAUUGGGUUUAAAGGGUGCGCAGGCGGAUUUUUAAGUCAGCGGUCAAAUCGUGGGGCUCAACCCCAUCCAGCCGUUGAAACUGGGGAUCUAGAGUGUGCGAGAGGUAUGCGGAAUGCGUGGUGUAGCGGUGAAAUGCAUAGAUAUCACGCAGAACCCCGAUUGCGAAGGCAGCAUACCGGUGCACAACUGACGCUCAGGCACGAAAGCGUGGGUAUCGAACAGG